Molecule: ribosomal RNA, 250 nt
Filed under: uncultured bacterium
Lineage: Bacteria
Description: partial 16S ribosomal RNA
Rfam family: Bacterial small subunit ribosomal RNA
Source: RNAcentral
UACGGAGGGCGCAAGCGUUGUUCGGAAUUACUGGGCGUAAAGCGCGUGUAGGCGGCCAGGUAAGUCGGAUGUGAAAGCCCGGGGCCCAACCCCGGAACUGCACCCGAUACUGCCCGGCUGGAGUCCCGGAGAGGAUGGCGGAAUUUCCGGUGUAGAGGUGAAAUUCGUAGAUAUCGGAAGGAACACCAGUGGCGAAGGCGGCCAUCUGGACGGUGACUGACGCUGAGACGCGAAAGCGUGGGGAGCAAAC